GGAGGUUCUUGGGUGACGCACCCCAGAAUCGGGCUCCCUCCUCUCUGGUUCCUCGGAGCGUCACCCUUUGAACCACC
Non-coding RNA from Myotis lucifugus (little brown bat), 77 nucleotides. Lineage: Eukaryota; Metazoa; Chordata; Mammalia; Chiroptera; Vespertilionidae. The record is from Rfam.